GGCCUUCCAAUUCUUACCACAGGCAGUGUUCUUUACACUGACUGUAUAGACUCUAGAGGAACUACAGUAAAUGCACCCCAUAUACACCUCAACACAGGCUCUUUGCCUGGUCUGUAUUGUGAAUUGGGGAACAAAA
Suncus etruscus (white-toothed pygmy shrew) is the source of this 136-nucleotide small nucleolar RNA. RefSeq annotates it as small nucleolar RNA SNORA51. The record is from RefSeq and is a predicted model, not a curated record. NCBI's taxonomy places the organism in Eukaryota, Metazoa, Chordata, Mammalia, Eulipotyphla, Soricidae. The transcript has a single exon.